UAUGAGCCAUUAAUAAUGAUUUUUAGUUUAAAUUACCUUAGGGAUAACAGCGUAAUUUUUUUAGAGAGUUCAUAUUGAUAAAAAAGUUUGCNACCUCGAUGUUGGAUUAAAGAUUAAUUUAGGUGCAAAAGUUUAAAUGAUUUGGUCUGUUCGACCAUUAAAUCUUUACAUGAUCUGAGUUCAGACCGGCGUGAGCCAGGUUGGUUUCUAUCUNUAUUUAAUUAGUAUAUUUUAGUACGAAAGGACCAAAUAUUGAUUAUAAUAAUUAUUAUUUGAAUAAUANUAAGUUAUUUUGGCAGAUUAGUGCAAUGAAUUUAGAAUUCAUAUAUGUAAUUUUAUUNCAGGGAAUAUUUGUUUUAUAUUGAUUUAAUUUUUAUAUUUAUUAUUAUAGUUUUAUUAAUUAUUUGUGUAUUAAU
Molecule: ribosomal RNA, 416 nt
Filed under: Hypotyphlus navaricus
Lineage: Eukaryota; Metazoa; Arthropoda; Insecta; Coleoptera; Carabidae
Description: partial large subunit ribosomal RNA
Rfam family: Bacterial large subunit ribosomal RNA (bases 1-212)
Source: RNAcentral